RNAcentral lists this ribosomal RNA (468 nucleotides) under uncultured bacterium. Its description in RNAcentral is "partial 16S ribosomal RNA". It matches the Rfam family "Bacterial small subunit ribosomal RNA", at positions 28 to 507 of the family's 1533-position model. The record is from RNAcentral.
GACGAACGCUGGCGGCGUGCUUAACACAUGCAAGUCGAACGGAAAGGCCCUGCUUUUGUGGGGUGCUCGAGUGGCGAACGGGUGAGUAACACGUGAGUAACCUGCCCUUGACUUUGGGAUAACUUCAGGAAACUGGGGCUAAUACCGGAUAGGAGCUCCUGCUGCAUGGUGGGGGUUGGAAAGUUUCGGCGGUUGGGGAUGGACUCGCGGCUUAUCAGCUUGUUGGUGGGGUAGUGGCUUACCAAGGCUUUGACGGGUAGCCGGCCUGAGAGGGUGACCGGCCACAUUGGGACUGAGAUACGGCCCAGACUACUACGGGAGGCAGCAGUGGGGAAUAUUGCACAAUGGGCGGAAGCCUGAUGCAGCACCGCCGCGUGCGGGAUGACGGCCUUCGGGUUGUAAACCGCUUUCGCCUGUGACGAAGCGUGAGUGACGGUAAUGGGUAAAGAAGCACCGGCUAACUACGUG